RNAcentral lists this ribosomal RNA (659 nucleotides) under uncultured fungus. RNAcentral's name for it is "eukaryotic LSU rRNA". It matches the Rfam family "Eukaryotic large subunit ribosomal RNA", at positions 24 to 664 of the family's 3401-position model. The record is from RNAcentral. Lineage: Eukaryota; Fungi.
CCCGCUGAACUUAAGCAUAUCAAUAAGCGGAGGAAAAGAAACUAACAAGGAUUCCCCCAGUAACUGCGAGUGAAGAGGGAAGAGCUCAAAUUUAGAAUCUGGCAGUCUUUGGCUGUCCGAGUUGUAAAUUAGAGAAGUGUUAUCCGCGCUGGACUGUGCAUAAGUCUCUUGGAAAAGGGCAUCAUAGAGGGUGACAAUCCCGUCUUUGGCACAGACUCCCAGGGCUUUUGUGAUGCGCUCUCGAUGAGUCGAGUUGUUUGGGAAUGCAGCUCUAAAUGGGUGGUAAAUUCCAUCUAAAGCUAAAUAUUGGCGAGAGACCGAUAGCGAACAAGUACCGUGAGGGAAAGAUGAAAAGAACUUUGGAAAGAGAGUUAAACAGUACGUGAAAUUGCUGAAAGGGAAACGCUUGAAGUCAGUCACGUUGACUCGGAAUCAGCUCUGCUUUUGCUGGGUGUACUUUCUUGUCAAUGGGUCAGCAUCAAUUUUGACCAUUGGAUAAAGUUGCUGGGAAUGUAGCAUCCUUUUGGAUGUGUUAUAGCCUGGUGAUGCAUACAGUGGUUGGGAUUGAGGAAUUCAGCACGCCACCAGGCCGGGUUUUGACCACGUUCGUGCUUAGGAUGCUGGCAUAAUGGCUUUAAUUGACCCGUCUUGAAACACGG